GGUGGUUCUCAGGUGACACACCCCAGAAUUGGGCUUCCUCCUCUCGGGUUUUGGGUGCAUCACCUGAGAACCGCG
Molecule: non-coding RNA, 75 nt
Organism: Myotis davidii
Lineage: Eukaryota; Metazoa; Chordata; Mammalia; Chiroptera; Vespertilionidae
Source: Rfam